This 71-nucleotide transfer RNA is filed under the name Ictidomys tridecemlineatus (thirteen-lined ground squirrel). RNAcentral's name for it is "Spermophilus tridecemlineatus (thirteen-lined ground squirrel) tRNA". It matches the Rfam family "tRNA". From Rfam's summary of the family: Transfer RNA (tRNA) molecules are approximately 80 nucleotides in length. Lineage: Eukaryota; Metazoa; Chordata; Mammalia; Rodentia; Sciuridae. The record is from Rfam by way of RNAcentral.
UGGGGUAUAAUACAGUGGUAGAGUACCUACUUAGCAUGCAUGAGGCCUGGGUUCAAUUCCCAGCACCACAU